RNAcentral lists this long non-coding RNA (285 nucleotides) under Lathyrus oleraceus (garden pea). RNAcentral's name for it is "Pisum sativum (pea) long non-coding RNA (PSAT_LNC023157)". Lineage: Eukaryota; Viridiplantae; Streptophyta; Magnoliopsida; Fabales; Fabaceae. The record is from RNAcentral.
UUUUUGCAUGGUUCUUGAUGUAUAUAGUUUAACCAAAAUCUUGCAUGAAACCCGAUUGUCUUGAUUUAAUUAAUUGAUUAAAUUCUAUUUGGGCAAUUAAUUGAAUUGAUGACUUUAGGACUAUUUAGUUACAUCAUUUUCAAAACAAAUGCAUGUUCCCUUAGGAUAGUUUGUAACAAAUUAUAACCAUUAGCUUAGGUUUUAACCUAGUUCUCAAAAUUAUUUCGAACCUUUCGACUCAAGUUGAUCAAAAGUAAUUUUGAUCAACUAAAUCCUUUGAUAUUG